AUUGAACGCUAGCGGGAUGCCUUACACAUGCAAGUCGAACGGCGUGGCGAACGGGUGCGUAAUGUAUCGGACCGUGCCCAGUAGCGGGGGAUAACUAUGCGAAAGCGUAGCUAAUACCGCAUACUAUUGGAGCGGCCGAUACCGGAUUAGCUAGGUGGAGGGGUAACGGCGCACAAAGGCGACGAUCCUUAGCUGGUUUGAGAGGACGCCCAGCCACACUGUGACUGAGACACGGCCCAGACUCCUACGGGAGGCAGCAGUGGGGAAUUUUGGACAAUGGGGGAAACCCUGAUCCAGCCAUGCCGCGUGUGCGAAGAAGGCCUUCGGGUUGUAAAGCACUUUUGGCGGGGAAGCGGUACCUGCAGAAUAAGCACCGGCUAACUACGUGCCAGCAGCCGCGGUAAUAC
Molecule: ribosomal RNA, 407 nt
Filed under: uncultured bacterium
Lineage: Bacteria
Description: partial 16S ribosomal RNA
Rfam family: Bacterial small subunit ribosomal RNA
Source: RNAcentral